Salvia miltiorrhiza (redroot sage) is the source of this 989-nucleotide long non-coding RNA. RefSeq lists it as uncharacterized. Lineage: Eukaryota; Viridiplantae; Streptophyta; Magnoliopsida; Lamiales; Lamiaceae. The transcript has 3 exons. The record is from RefSeq and is a predicted model, not a curated record.
UUCACUUGGUUGCGUUGCUAGUGAAAAGGAUCUCCAAGAGUGGUCGGGUGAGAUUGGCUCUGAUAUCCCCUUCUCUUCUCUCAUGGUGUUGCUUAUUGUACAGCUAGAGGGGAGUUAGUGAAUUCGAAACCAUAGCCGCCGCCUCAUCUCAGAAACGGGCGUCGAUUUUACCCGAUCUCAGAAAACGCCGGUCGUCUUUGCCUCAUCUCUUCCGAUUGCUUUUCAAUCGCCUGCUCUGGUUAGAAAAUGACUGGCACCGUGGCCUUAUUGGCUCCAGCAUCGACGCCUUCUUCUUCGGCCCGAAGGUUUCUUUGUCGUCGUCGGCAGGCCCCUGUUCGAAAUUAUUCGCCAUCGAUGAAUGCCCACAUAACCCUCUGACUCGUCUCUUAGAUAAUUUCUCUGCUCAUCUUUUGUUGUGGUCUUUUAAGACAAUGGUAUAAACUAGUAUAAAACAUUGAAGAACUGACGGUCCUAUGUCAGAAGAUGUGGCUUUUGUCAAUGUUCUCGUCGAGGAAAAGUUCAGCCGACUUUGUGCAUGUGGAGAUGGAUUAAAGCCAUGUGGAAAUGGAUUAAAGCCACUAUCCAAAAGAGGAGAGAGGAUUAAUCUUGAUUUGCAAAAGGAGAAUGAAGAGCUGAACAAAAAGAAUGAAGAGUUGGCCUCUCGGAUUGAGAGAGAGGAUUAAUCUUGAUUUGCAAAAAGGAGAAUGCAGAGCUGAACAAAAAGAAUGAAGAGUUGGCCUCUCGGACUGAGUCUUUAGAAGCUCAAAUUAGCAACCACCAAGUGAAUCUAGCAUGAUCACAUCUUUACUUGUAUUUGCAAUUUGUAUUUGAUGUUUUAGAAAUAAGUGUGAUCACGCUUUUUUCAACGUCUUAUGAAACAAUACUGUCAAACUAGCAUGAUCACGUCUUUACUUAAAGAAGCUUCCGCAUCAAUUUUGUAAUUCGAUCUAGUAUUUUUAGAAAUAAAUGUGAUCACGUCAUUUCUUAAA